RNAcentral lists this ribosomal RNA (434 nucleotides) under uncultured bacterium. RNAcentral describes it as "bacterial SSU rRNA". It matches the Rfam family "Bacterial small subunit ribosomal RNA", at positions 341 to 792 of the family's 1533-position model. The record is from RNAcentral.
ACGGGAGGCAGCAGUGGGGAAUAUUGCACAAUGGGGGAAACCCUGAUGCAGCGACGCCGCGUGAAGGAAGAAGUAUUUCGGUAUGUAAACUUCUAUCAGCAGGGAAGAAACUGACGGUACCUGACUAAGAAGCACCGGCUAAAUACGUGCCAGCAGCCGCGGUAAUACGUAUGGUGCAAGCGUUAUCCGGAUUUACUGGGUGUAAAGGGAGCGUAGACGGAGAGGCAAGUCUGAAGUGAAAGCCCGGGGCUCAACCCCGGGACUGCUUUGGAAACUGCAGUUCUAGAGUGCCGGAGAGGUAAGCGGAAUUCCUAGUGUAGCGGUGAAAUGCGUAGAUAUUAGGAGGAACACCAGUGGCGAAGGCGGCUUACUGGACGGUGACUGACGUUGAGGCUCGAAAGCGUGGGGAGCAAACAGGAUUAGAUACCCUGGUA